AAUUGAAAAAGUGUAAUGUUCCCAUCUCACAUUCUCAACCAACGGCAAUGGCAGCCUCAUCCUCCUUCUCCUCCUUCCUCUCCUUUCUUCUCCCACCAAAGCCACAAUCGCACCCUCCUUCCCUCGCGCGUUUCUCGCUUCGAAGCCACAAGCUCUGUGCUCAACACCAGGACCACCACUCACCGGAGCUGUCCUCGCACGUUAUAAUGAACCCUUCUUACGCGCACGCAAACACGCUAUUCUUCCGAUCUGCGUACAACGUGCAGGUGGUUGUUGACGAGAACGAGCCCGAGGAGAGGCUGCUCAACCGCUUUAGGAGAGAGGUCAUGAAAGCUGGAGUCAUACAAGAAUGCAAGAGGAGACGCUUCUUUGAGAACAAGCAGGAGGAGAAGAAACGCAAGAACCGCGAAGCUGCUAAGCGUAAAAGCAGAAGCAGGCGCCCUCAAUCAAGAUUUCAAGCACAAAACAAGAACGAUGUUGCAACAACCAAGAAGGUAGAGGAUGAUGAUAACUGGGAUCUUCCAGAAGUAGACGCUCCAUAUAUUUCAACAACAUGAUCCACUUACAUUCUCACUUCUGCGGCCACCUCAAAGCCAUUUUAUCCAAAGCAUUGUCCCCUGGUGCACGUUUUCUGAAGCGAAUCCAAUCAUAUAGAACAAUCCUCAGGUCAUGAACUUUGCUUUUUAGAUCGUCACAACAGUUAGCUUGAAUGGUAUAAACCUCCUUGAACAUAUCCUUUUUUAGCUGACAAAACCCACCAAAAGAGCUUGUAUUUACUAAAUGAAUCCGAAAGCCAUACGAGUCAGCUAUAUCUUGCCUUGCUUUUAUUGUUGUACACAAUGACUCUUCUACGGGAUCGUUUGGAUAAAGAAUCUUGGUCAAUUUCCAAUAGUUGAAAAAUUCGAAGGAAAUGGUAUUUGCUUUCAAGAAGAAUAUUCCCUCAUCAUACAGGGUAGUGAUAUAGAAGGAGGCAUACCAGCACGAUGAAGAAAGCUAAGAGAGAAAGAUACACAGAAUUUCUCAAUCUGGAUGCUCUCAUCCUUCAAAAUGCAAAUGGGUAGACCUACUUAAUCUUGAAAGUUGAUCUCACGUUUAUCAAGUGCUGUGAAAAAGAAACCAAUGAAUGUGUUGAGAGAAGAUCCCUUUGCAUGAAAAGCCAGAAUCAGGGAGAUUUGAGAAAAUCACAUUAUACAAAUUAUAUAUGCUCAAAUGGGUUGACAUGUUGAGUGAAUUCAAUAGGCAAAACAAUAAAGAAAAAGUUAAAAAUAAAUGCUAAUAAAUAUAUUUAACUAUCCAAUUAAACACUUUGUCCGUUUCAGGUUUUGAGAAAUCUGAUAUGCUUUCGAAAUUUGGCUUUAUUAUGGUAACUUUUGUUGCUUAGGUGACCCCAUGUGGAUGCAAUGGAUGCAUCUUCUUCAUCCCCCUAAGAAAAAGGAUUACCAAAAUCAGGAUCUUUUACAGUCAUUGCUAGAUACACCACCCCCUUUGGUUUGCUUUACAUAAUAAA
Vigna umbellata (rice bean) is the source of this 1507-nucleotide non-coding RNA. Lineage: Eukaryota; Viridiplantae; Streptophyta; Magnoliopsida; Fabales; Fabaceae. The record is from RefSeq and is a predicted model, not a curated record.